RNAcentral lists this ribosomal RNA (253 nucleotides) under uncultured bacterium. Its description in RNAcentral is "partial 16S ribosomal RNA". It matches the Rfam family "Bacterial small subunit ribosomal RNA", at positions 524 to 776 of the family's 1533-position model. The record is from RNAcentral.
GACGAACCGUGCGAACGUUAUUCGGAAUCACUGGGCUUAAAGGGCGCGUAGGCGGGCUGUCAAGUCAGGGGUGAAAUCCCACGGCCCAACCGUGGAAGUGCCUUUGAUACUGACGGCCUCGAGGGGGAUAGGGGCGUGCGGAACUCAGGGUGGAGCGGUGAAAUGCGUAGAUAUCCUGAGGAACACCGGUGGCGAAAGCGGCGCGCUGGAUCCCUUCUGACGCUGAGGCGCGAAAGCCAGGGGAGCAAACGGG